CUGCAAUUGGCAAUGAAUUCAAUGCAAAUGAAGAUGUCACCACAAGAACAGUACAACAACUGCAGGUUCUAUGGAAGAACAUUAAACUGGGAUUAAAAAAAGAGAAUGCAGCAAGCAGAAGAGAGCGAUUUAUUACAGGUGGUGGACCACCAAUAAAGGACACAUGUGAUGAAUUGGUUGACUUGCUGUCUGGUAUAAUAGAGCACCAGCAACCUCUGGAUGGUAUACCAGACAAUGACCAUUUGGACAGUGAACAUGGAGAACUGAGCACAAAUGAGGAAACCAAUCAAGAGCCAGUUCACAACGAGCCUGAACCCUCCACAUCUGCUAUAGCACCCCUG
Platichthys flesus (European flounder) is the source of this 341-nucleotide long non-coding RNA. RefSeq lists it as uncharacterized. The record is from RefSeq and is a predicted model, not a curated record. NCBI's taxonomy places the organism in Eukaryota, Metazoa, Chordata, Actinopteri, Pleuronectiformes, Pleuronectidae. The transcript is spliced from 3 exons.